This 505-nucleotide ribosomal RNA is filed under the name uncultured bacterium. RNAcentral's name for it is "partial 16S ribosomal RNA". It matches the Rfam family "Bacterial small subunit ribosomal RNA", at positions 28 to 507 of the family's 1533-position model. The record is from RNAcentral.
GGCGAACGCUGGCGGCGUGCCUAAUACAUGCAAGUAGAACGCACAGUUUAUACCGUAGCUUGCUACACCAUAAACUGUGAGUUGCGAACGGGUGAGUAACGCGUAGGUAACCUGCCUGGUAGCGGGGGAUAACUAUUGGAAACGAUAGCUAAUACCGCAUAAUAUUGAUUAUUGCAUGAUAAUUGAUUGAAAGAUGCUAUUGCAUCACUACCAGAUGGACCUGCGUUGUAUUAGCUAGUAGGUGAGGUAACGGCUCACCUAGGCGACGAUACAUAGCCGACCUGAGAGGGUGAUCGGCCACACUGGGACUGAGACACGGCCCAGACUCCUACGGGAGGCAGCAGUAGGGAAUCUUCGGCAAUGGACGAAAGUCUGACCGAGCAACGCCGCGUGAGUGAAGAAGGUUUUCGGAUCGGAAAGCUCUGUUGUAAGAGAAGAACGGGUGUGAGAGUGGAAAGUUCACACUGUGACGGUAUCUUACCAGAAAGGGACGGCUAACUACGUG